Molecule: ribosomal RNA, 488 nt
Filed under: uncultured bacterium
Lineage: Bacteria
Description: bacterial SSU rRNA
Rfam family: Bacterial small subunit ribosomal RNA
Source: RNAcentral
GGCUCAGAUUGAACGCUGGCGGCAUGCUUUACACAUGCAAGUCGAACGGUAACAGGCCUUCGGGUGCUGACGAGUGGCGAACGGGUGAGUAAUGCAUCGGAACGUGCCCAGAGUGGGGGAUAACGCAGCGAAAGCUGUGCUAAUACCGCAUACGAUCUAUGGAUGAAAGCGGGGGAUCGCAAGACCUCGCGCGAUUGGAGCGGCCGAUGUCAGAUUAGCUAGUUGGUGGGGUAAAGGCCCACCAAGGCGACGAUCUGUAGCUGGUCUGAGAGGACGACCAGCCACACUGGGACUGAGACACGGCCCAGACUCCUACGGGAGGCAGCAGUGGGGAAUUUUGGACAAUGGGCGCAAGCCUGAUCCAGCAAUGCCGCGUGCAGGAAGAAGGCCUUCGGGUUGUAAACUGCUUUUGUACGGAACGAAAAGGUCUGGGUUAAUACCCUGGGCUCAUGACGGUACCGUAAGAAUAAGCACCGGCUAACUCCGUG